RNAcentral lists this long non-coding RNA (1218 nucleotides) under Papio anubis (olive baboon). Its description in RNAcentral is "lncRNA (ENSPANG00000040606.1)". Lineage: Eukaryota; Metazoa; Chordata; Mammalia; Primates; Cercopithecidae. The record is from RNAcentral.
GGAAUUCACAUUCAAUCUAUGCUUGUCUGCUUGACAUUGUCCCAUGAGUCAGUAAGGCACAGUCAUUUUUUUUUCUCUUUGUUCUUCAGCGUGGAUAACUUUUAUUGACCUCUUUUUAAGGUCAUCAGUUCUUUCUACUGCCAUAUCUAAUCCACUGUUAAGCCCAUUCAUUCUAUUUUUCAAUUCAGAUGCUGUAAUUUUUAGUUCUAGAAUUUCCAUUUAAUUAUUUAUCAUAGUUUUUAUGUCUCUGGAGACCUUUUCCAUCCGUUUAUACAUUAUAAUCUUUUCCUUAAAGUUCUUGAAUAUAUUUAUAAUGCUGUUUCAAAUUUUUUGUCACGUUUGCUUAUCUUUGAGUCUGUUUCUCUUAGAUACUUUUCCUCCUUUUUAAUGGGUCAUGUUUUCCUGCUUCUUUGCACAUACAGUAAAUGAUAAACUUUGUAUGUUUGUUCCAUCCAAAUUUCAUGUUAAAAUAUAAUCCCUGAGGUUGGAGGUGGGGCCUUGUGGCAGGUGUUUGGGUCAUGGGGCAAAUCCCUCAUGAAUAGUUUGGCAUGCUGUCCUUGCGAUAUGAGUGAGUUCUUGUGAGAUCUGGUUGUUUAAAAGUGUGUAGCACCUCCCCCUUCACUCUCUCUUGCUCCUACUCUUACUAUGUGACAGGUCAACUUCCCUUUUGCCUUCUGCUAUGAUUGUAAACUUCUUGAGGCUCUCACCAGAAGCCGACGCUGAAGCCAAGCUUGUAUAGCCUGCAGAACUAACAUCAAUGUCCAUGAGUUCUACAGGACCUCCUGUAUCUCCGUUCAGCUGCCAACUCUGUAGCAAGUCCUCCCUGCAAGGCCUUAAGGAAUCUCUUGUGGAUGCGCGUCCAGCCCUGUGCAAGGCUUCAAAGAAAAGCAGUUGAAACACCAUUAGUUAACAGAUUGCCCAAUGAAGUCGAUGACAACUGUGAUAAGAAAUUACUCACUAUCACAGUGUCUCCAAGAGAUGAACAGUGGAUGAUGCUUCCAAAGCACAGAUGUCCCUCUCCUCCUCAACCUUCUUUCCCCAGAAAGAUGUCAACACCGUGGAGAUUGUGCCAUGAAGACACCUGGUGUGGCAUUGCAAUAGAUGAAUGCCAAUUAUUAAGGGCAAUUGCCCAAAUAUUAAGGGCAAUUCCACAAUUUUUGGAACAAAUAAAUGGAUUUAACUUGAAGUUGAGUUUAAGUUGAUUUCAAGAAAGAUUAU